RNAcentral lists this transfer RNA (72 nucleotides) under Araneus ventricosus. It matches the Rfam family "tRNA". From Rfam's summary of the family: Transfer RNA (tRNA) molecules are approximately 80 nucleotides in length. Their secondary structure includes four short double-helical elements and three loops (D, anti-codon, and T loops). Further hydrogen bonds mediate the characteristic L-shaped molecular structure. tRNAs have two regions of fundamental functional importance: the anti-codon, which is responsible for specific mRNA codon recognition, and the 3' end, to which the tRNAs corresponding amino acid is attached (by aminoacyl-tRNA synthetases). tRNAs cope with the degeneracy of the genetic code in two manners: having more than one tRNA (with a specific anti-codon) for a particular amino acid; and 'wobble' base-pairing, i.e. permitting non-standard base-pairing at the 3rd anti-codon position. Lineage: Eukaryota; Metazoa; Arthropoda; Arachnida; Araneae; Araneidae. The record is from Rfam by way of RNAcentral.
GACUCGGUGGCGCAACAGUAGCGCGUCUGACUCCAGAUCAGAAGGCUGCGUGUUCAAAUCACGUGCGGGUCA